UGGCGGAUGCCUUGGCUCUCGGAGGCGAUGAAGGACGUGAUAAGCUGCGAUAAGCUUUGGGGAGGUGCAAAUGACCUUUGAUCCAGAGAUUUCCGAAUGGGACAACCCAAUAUCUUGAAGAGGUAUUAUCCAACGUUGUUGGAGGCUAACGCAGGGAACUGAAACAUCUUAGUACCUGCAGGAAAAGAAAAUAAACAAUGAUUCCCCCAGUAGUGGCGAGCGAACGGGGAACAGCCCAAACCAUCCAUGUUACGGCAUGUGUGGGGUUGUAGGACUACGCCGUUGCAUGAAGACAUCAGAGAAGAACUUUCUGGAAAGAAAGACCAUAGAGCAUGACAGUUGCGUAUUCGAAUGUUGUCGAAGCAUAGUAGUAUCCUGAGUAGCGCGGAGCACGAGGAAUUCUGCGUGAAUCUGCCGGGACCAUCCGGUAAGGCUAAAUACUCCCGAGAGACCGAUAGCGAACCAGUACCGUGAGGGAAAGGUGAAAAGCACUUCGAACAGAAGAGUGAAAUAGUUCCUGAAACCGUGCGCCUACAAGCGGUCGGAGCUCGUUAAUGAGUGACGGCGUGCCUUUUGCAUAAUGAACCUACGAGUUGCCUUUGCCGGCAAGGUUAAGUGUGACGACACACGUAUCCGAAGCGAAAGCGAGUCUGAAGAGGGCGUAUAGUCGGCAGUGGCAGACGCGAAACCAAGUGAUCUACCCUUGGCCAGGUUGAAGGCUGGGUAACACCAGCUGGAGGACCGCACCAAUAAGCGUUGAAAAGCUUCUGGAUGAGCUGAGGGUAGGGGUGAAAGGCUAAUCAAACUUGGAGAUAGCUCGUACUCCCCGAAAUGCAUUUAGGUGCAGCCUUUAUUUAGUAUAGCAUGAGGUAGAGCGACUGAUUGGAUGCGAGGGCUUCACCGCCUAUCAAGUCCAGAUAAACUCCGAAUGCGUGCUAUAUAUUGAUAAGGAGUGAGGGCGCGGGUGCUAAGGUCCGCGUCCGAGAGGAGAAGAAUCCAGACCAUCAGCUAAGGUCCCCAAAUAACAGUUAAGUUGAACUAACGAAGUCGGACUGCAGAGACAGCUAGGAUGUUGGCUUGGAAGCAGCCAUUCAUUUAAAGAGUGCGUAACAGCUCACUAGUCGAGGAGUCGGGCGUGGAUAAUAAUCGGGUAUUAAGUUGUCUACCGAAGCAGUGGGAUCAUUUAUAUGAUCGGUAGGGGAGCAUUCCAGUCAGCGUCGAAGGCGUACCGUGAGGUAUUCUGGAGCGUCUGGAAAAGCAAAUGUAGGUAUAAGUAACGAUAAAGGGGGCGGGAAACCCCCUCGCCGAAAGACUAAGGUUUCCUGAUCAACGCUAAUCGGAUCAGGGUCAGUCGGGUCCUAAGGCUCAGCCGAACGGCGAUGCCGAUGGCAGAAACGGUUAAUAUUCCGUUACUACCUUCAGGAGUGACGUGGAGACGCAGUAGUGACAGUGCCGCCAUCUGACGGAAUAGAUGGUUGAAGGGUGUAGGAGUCGAUCAUGGCAGGCAAAUCCACCAUGAGAUCCGAACCUGAGAGUAUGCCGCGUCCUUCGGGACAAGGCAAUAGUGCGCGUAAGCAUGCUGCCGAGAAAAUCCGCUAAACUUAAUCCUGCAGGUACCCGUACCGCAAACGGACACACGUAGUCGGGAUGAAUAUUCUAAGGCGCUUGAGUGAUUCACGGUUAAGGAACUAGGCAAACUGACCCUGUAACUUCGGGAUAAAGGGUCCCUACCCUUUUAUGGGAGGGCGCAGAGAAUCGGUCCAGGCAACUGUUUAACAAAAACACAGGGCUGUGCGAAGUCGAAAGACGCUGUAUACAGCCUGACACCUGCCCGGUGCUGGAAGGUUAAGAGGAGAUGUCAUCGCAAGAGAAGCAUUGAAUUGAAGCCCCAGUAAACGGCGGCCGUAACAAUAACGGUCCUAAGGUAGCGAAAUUCCUUGUCGGGUAAGUUCCGACCUGCACGAA
This 1965-nucleotide ribosomal RNA is filed under the name human gut metagenome. Its description in RNAcentral is "bacterial LSU rRNA". It matches the Rfam family "Bacterial large subunit ribosomal RNA", at positions 22 to 1996 of the family's 2925-position model. The record is from RNAcentral.